Molecule: non-coding RNA, 1170 nt
Organism: Macaca mulatta (Rhesus monkey)
Lineage: Eukaryota; Metazoa; Chordata; Mammalia; Primates; Cercopithecidae
Source: RefSeq, a predicted model, not a curated record
UUCCAGAGGGGAACCCGGGAAACCAGCCAGGAAGCUGCCGGCUUCUAACUCAGCGCUGCAGGCAGGGCAGGCUGCCGGGGGACGUCAGCUCCAGGCCACUCGGCAUUUCACGAUGCCCAGGGUUCCUGGUGAAGGCACAUCUGUUGGCCUCAGGGCCCCGUGUCUGCCAGGAGCCGCGGGGCUGGUGCCUUUGUCAUGAACCUCCGGCCUCUCGAUGCAGCUCUGGGCACCCCUGGCUGCCCUUUCUUCCCGAGCUGCUUCUCUAGGCCAGGCCAGGCCACAGGAGCUCCCAGGGGUUUGCUGCACACAGGAGCUGGGGCUCCCACUGGUCACUCCAUCCCUAAUCCAUCCUCAAUCCGGUCUACCCUGAAAGAAAAUCUGAAGGAAUCCUACAGUGUUUGACUUUACUGAACGGGCACAAAACCAAAACACAGCGACAGGAACGUGACGUGGGUCCUUGGACUCUGGAUUUGCACAGAGCUGGAUUUGAAUACCAGUCCUGCUACCCAUUAUUUUCAAGUUUCAGGUUCUUCCUAGUAAAACAGUGAAAGGAUGACACCUAGAAUUCAGGUGCACCUCACCUUCGAAGUUCAACGUCCCCGAGUGUGCAUGUGGGGAGAGGAGGAGGAUGGCAUCUCAAAUUGGGGUCAGGUGUCCUUCCACAGCUCUCGGGCUGGGGACUUCCUGCUUGAUGCAUUUCCAUAAGACAUUACCGUAAGUUAGUGUGGAAUUCUCAUUGUUGCACACAGAGGAUGUAAAAGAUUUUGCAAUGUUCAACAGCUCCCAGCAGUCUUAACCAAAGGUGGGAAGGAAAUUGAAAGGAAGAAAGCAGCUGGAAUUGUAAAGGCAGACACAUGAAGUUAAAAGAAAGUCAUUUUUUAAAAGAGAAAAAUACAUAAAUUGCUAAUGUCACAUUAUAAUUUUCACAUCAAAAUCUUAUGAAUAAUAAUUAAUUAAUAGAAAUGUUCCAUUUCAAGAAAAGUUGGAGAGUAGCAGUAAAUGCUAAAACUGAUUUUAAUUCCUUCAUUCUAUAUAAAGGAAACUGACCUAAAAUCUUUUAUAUGUUGGUUAUUCUCAUCAUCUUAAAAAUAUGUAACAUGCAAUAUUAUUUUAAAAACUUCAUUAUUUGGAUGAAAAUACAUUGUGAAAAUUAAGAAUUUGAAGAUAAGC